This is a long non-coding RNA of Hyaena hyaena (striped hyena), 349 nucleotides long. RefSeq lists it as uncharacterized. The record is from RefSeq and is a predicted model, not a curated record. The transcript is spliced from 3 exons. Lineage: Eukaryota; Metazoa; Chordata; Mammalia; Carnivora; Hyaenidae.
AGGAGGCAGGGCCGAGCUCGGCCGGCUCCCACCGCGCGCCACCGUCGCCGCUGGUUCCCAUCGCGAGUAGGGCGGGGCUGGAACGGCUCCGCUCGCUCCAUGGAGUCUGCCUGAGACCGGUGAAGACAGAAGAGGGCUCCGGAUAACGUGCAGCGGAACCCCAGCACUUAAAAUGGACAGGGAGGAAGGGGCUCCAGAAGAGAGGUCAGAGGAGUGUCCAGGAAGAGGGGAAAACCCAGAGAGAAGCGUGCUUUCAAGGACACCAAGAUUAGCAAUGUCAGAGUCAACUGUUGCCAAGAAGCAGGAGAGAGAGACAGCAUGAGCAGGGGAGGGUCACAGAGAGAGGGAG